Molecule: ribosomal RNA, 439 nt
Filed under: uncultured bacterium
Lineage: Bacteria
Description: partial 16S ribosomal RNA
Rfam family: Bacterial small subunit ribosomal RNA
Source: RNAcentral
CUACGGGACGCUGCAGUAGGGAAUAUUGGACAAUGGGCGAAAGCCUGAUCCAGCAACACCGCGCGCACGAUGACGGCCUUCGGGUUGUAAAGUGUUUUUAGAGGAGAUGAGAAAGGACAGUAUCCUCUGAAUAAGCCUCGGCGAACUACGUGCCAGCAGCCGCGGUAAAACGUAGGAGGCAAGCGUUAUCCGGAUUUAUUGGGCGUAAAGCGCGUGCAGGCGGUCUAGCAAGUUGGAUGUGAAAGCUCCCGGCUCAACUGGGAGAGGUCGUUCAAUACUGUUAGACUAGAGAAUAGAGAGGGAGGUGGAAUUCCGGGUGUAGUGGUGAAAUGCGUAGAUAUCCGGAGGAACACCAGUGGCGAAAGCGGCCUCCUGGACUAUUUCUGACGCUAAGACGCGAAAGCUAGGGUAGCAAACGGGAUUAGAUACCCCCGUAGUC